RNAcentral lists this long non-coding RNA (590 nucleotides) under Ficedula albicollis (Collared flycatcher). RNAcentral's name for it is "lncRNA (ENSFALG00000028876.1)". The record is from RNAcentral. Lineage: Eukaryota; Metazoa; Chordata; Aves; Passeriformes; Muscicapidae.
UUUUUAAACAAGUGAUUCUAAUUUCAUUGCAGCAAGCAAUGUCUGCCACUGUUAUGGCCACUAAUAUGUUUUGACUACCAUGCCUCAUUUGCAGCAACCUUAAGUUCAGAACUGAAAUACAAAGCAGGAAAAUGGCAAAUAUUUGAAUGACUUCUUGGGUUCUGUGCCAGCAUUUUCAUGUUUCCUUCAGUCACUACUAAAUGACCAUUCCUCAGUUCCAAACAAAAGCUCAUAUAAAGAUGUCAUUGAUGCUGACUGCUUCUUUUCACAUUAAAUGUGUUUCAGCUACAACUCUGUCAGUUUAGACACCAUGGGCAGAUUUUUAUAACCUCAUCUCCACACAUCUCAACCCAUUGCUCCCUGUAUCCUGCUGACCCGACAAGGACAAGCAACCAUCUCUGUGCAGAGGGACAGUGUAGACUUUGUGAAGGGACUGUAAGCAGACCUGGAGAUUCUCCUAUGGCAUUCAGGAAACCCCACUCGGAAAAUGGGAAAAAAAUCUGACCACAUUUAAAAUACAUCCUGCAGUCAAUGCAUUGCACUACUGUGAUAACUACAGUGUUAACAUCUGCAUUUCCUGCUGAGAGUUU